UUUCCCAAGGAUCUUGAGAGGCGACGAAUUUGGAUUCAAAAUUGUCGUCGUGGCGAUAAUUUCAACCCGACUAGGAGCUUCUAUUGUUUGUUCAGAACACUUCCUUCCAACUGACUUCGAACGAGAUUUGAAAAGCGAACUACUUGGUCUUUCUAUUAAAAAGAGAUUGUCUAAGACUGCAGUGCCUAAAUUAAAGCUGGAAUCAAAAGAACUAGUGAUAUCAUCUAAGAAAACCGAAAAGGAAGAGACUUCUGUCAGAAAACUGAUAACCAAUAACAGCAAAGGAAUUGAAUACUGGUACUGUGUACUCAGGAAUAUUUAACAUGGGAGCUUGCUGUGCUUAUGGAUGCACAAAUAGGUCUUCCAAAAUGACUCCAGGCGUAACAUUUCACAGGUUUCCUAAAGAGGAAAAGCGAAGAGAAAUUUGGAUUAAGGCCCUCCGACGGAAGGACUGGUAUCCAUCAGUCUAUUCAAGAAUUUGUUCCCGUCAUUUUGAAGAAGAGAUGUUUGAUAGAUCCUUGAAUCGUGUUCUUUUGAAGGAUGAUGCAGUCCCGACUAUCUUUAAAGAAUUUCCAUCUUAUUGUC
Molecule: long non-coding RNA, 585 nt
Organism: Stegodyphus dumicola
Lineage: Eukaryota; Metazoa; Arthropoda; Arachnida; Araneae; Eresidae
Source: RefSeq, a predicted model, not a curated record